This 802-nucleotide long non-coding RNA is filed under the name Nicotiana tabacum (common tobacco). RNAcentral's name for it is "long non-coding RNA (NTAB_LNC004298)". The record is from RNAcentral. Lineage: Eukaryota; Viridiplantae; Streptophyta; Magnoliopsida; Solanales; Solanaceae.
UUUUCCAGGAGAGUUAUCCUUUCAUGUUUCUCCUCUUCAAUUGUUUGUUCUUCAGGUUUCUCCUCAAUUAUUGGUUCUUCAGGUUUCUUCUCAAAUGCUGGUGUUUCACGUUUCUCCUCAAUUGAUGGUUCUUCAGGUUUCUUCUCAACCGUUGGUUCUUCAGGUUUUUCUUCAACUCCGGUUCUUCAAGGUUUGCCUCAACUGAUAAAUAGUCGGCAACAUCAUUGUUGGUAUUGCAUUGAAUUUCACUGUCAGUCUUCUCAUUGAAAUCUACAACUGACAUAUUCUGCAAGAAGAAUUUAAAGUUUCACUUAAUCUUUCAAUUGAUAAGUAGAUUCGAAUCUUUGCACAUACAGAACUAAUAGGAUGGAUAAACUUUGUGAUAGUGCUUGAUCCUCACCUUUUCCAAGAGAGUUACCUUUUCAGACUUCUCCUCUUUAACCGCUGGUUUUUCAGAUUUCUCUUCAACUACUAAUUGUUCAGGUAUUUCUUCAACAGAUGGUUCUUCAGGUUUCUCUUCAAAUUCUAGUUCUUCCGGUGUUGGUUCUUCAGCUUUUUCUUCAACUAUUAGUUCUCUAGGUUUCUCUUCAGCUGCUAGUUUUUCAUGUUUCUCCUCAACCUCUGGUUCUUCAAGUUUUUCUUCCACGGCUGGUUUUUCCUCAAUCGCUGGUUCUUCAUGUUUCUCCGUAACUGCUGGUUCUCUAGGUUUCUCUUCAACCGUUGGUUCUUCAUGUUUUUCUUCAACUGCUGGUUCUUCAAGUUUUUCCUCAACUGCUGGAUAGUCAACAGCGUCAUGAUUGGU